Molecule: ribosomal RNA, 497 nt
Filed under: uncultured bacterium
Lineage: Bacteria
Description: partial 16S ribosomal RNA
Rfam family: Bacterial small subunit ribosomal RNA
Source: RNAcentral
GAUAAACGCUGGCGGCGUGCCUAAUACAUGCAAGUCGAGCGAACGGACGAGAAGCUUGCUUCUCUGAUGUUAGCGGCGGACGGGUGAGUAACACGUGGAUAACCUACCUAUAAGACUGGGAUAACUUCGGGAAACCGUAGCUAAUACCGGAUAAUAUUUUGAACCGCAUGGUUCAAAAGUGAAAGACGGUCUUGCUGUCACUUAUAGAUGGAUCCGCGCUGCAUUAGCUAGUUGGUAAGGUAACGGCUUACCAAGGCAACGAUGCAUAGCCGACCUGAGAGGGUGAUCGGCCACACUGGAACUGAGACACGGUCCAGACUCCUACGGGAGGCAGCAGUAGGGAAUCUUCCGCAAAGGGCGAAAGCCUGACGGAGCAACGCCGCGUGAGUGAUGAAGGUCUUCGGAUCGUAAAACUCUGUUAUUAGGGAAGAACAUAUGUGUAAGUAACUGUGCACAUCUUGACGGUACCUAAUCAGAAAGCCACGGCUAACUACGUG